This is a long non-coding RNA of Phyllopteryx taeniolatus (common seadragon), 2014 nucleotides long. RefSeq lists it as uncharacterized. The transcript has 3 exons. NCBI's taxonomy places the organism in Eukaryota, Metazoa, Chordata, Actinopteri, Syngnathiformes, Syngnathidae. The record is from RefSeq and is a predicted model, not a curated record.
GAAAAAAGGAGAAGGAAGGAAGGAAGGAGCUCGUCGGGACUGGAAGGGAAGCAGAAGAGAGUCAUCGGCAGCGCGCACGCAGACAGCAUGCGUGCGUGCGUGCGUGCACGCGGGGGAGGAAGACGAGCAGAGGAUUUGUAGCGCUUCUUCGUGAACAUGAAAAUAGACCCAUCCUAAGUUGUUCUUUUGGAGUCGUCAAGACAAAUUGUUAUGGAAGUGAAUUUCUACAGUGAAUCUGGCCCGGUUGGCACUGCGAGCGCCCCCACCCACCUCAACAACUUGAUAAACUCCAUUCUCCCAAGCCGCCUCGCUGUGGGAGACGGCCACCGGGGGACGCCUGGUGUAUGUCAGCUGGACCUUAAACUAAUUAGCAGCUUUCCACCAUAUCUGGAUUCCAGACUUCAAAGACGCUUGUGAUGUGCAGAACUGAUAGCGACCAAAAGGCUGAACCCUCUCAACCACUGGGAACAUUGCUGGAACGCAGACGACAUCUGCUGGCCUUUGAGAGUUACUGCAAUGUGUGGACUUUCAAUUGAAGUUUCUUUUACUGAAGAUAAAUGUCUGUUCUGAUAUUUCACAAACUAUGUAGAACUAUUCCAAAUGUAUACCUUGAUGUCUGUGUCAUUGUUUCAGCUUUACAGGUCCAGCUGCAAGACCUGAGAACUGUUCGUCUUGAUUUGAAGCCAAACAGUAUGAAAUGUGAUUGAACAAUGAGCAACUGAUCUGCCAAGACUAAAAUUUAAACAAUCUAUGUGCUUGAUCUAUGAGUAAGACCACAAAGUUGGGAGUAAUUUAUAUUAAUACCCUUGUGAGGAUAAGCGGCUCAGAAAAUGGAUGGAUGGAUAUGAUUUUUACACCAUUUUUAUGGCUAAAUUGUAGACUAAAAUUAAAGUCGAUGGACGUGGUCUUCUCCAUUUUCUCUGUCCUUUAGUCACACCCCCGGGGUAUUAAUGCUUUGACUCCCACUUCUUCUCACUCUCUUGGGUCUUGCUCUCUUGUGCUUCAUGCUGAGGAUUACCUACGCACGGCUCUGCCGUGGUACCACCUCUCCCACCUCCCCUUUUCUUUGUUCAAACACGCAGUUCGGCCAGCGCGAGCCUGGGAUGAAAACCUGGCUUUCAAAAAAGCUGGGACAGGGUCAUGUUUACCACUGUGUUACAUCACCUUUUCUUUUAACAACAUUCAAUAAACGUUUGGGAACUUAGGACACUAAUUGCUGAAGCUUUGUCGGUGGAAUUCUUUCCCAUUCUUGCUUGAUGUACAGCUUCAGCUGUCCAACAGUUCGGUGUCGCCGUUGUCGUAUUUUACCCUUCAUAAUACACCACACAAUUUCAAUGGGAGGCAGGCCAGUCUAGUAUCCGCACUAUUUUGCUACGAAGCCGCCCUGUUGUAACACGUGCAGGAUGUGGUUGCUUGGAUAGCAGCAUAUGUUUCUCCAAAACCUGUAUGUACCUUUCAGCAUUAAUGGUGCAUUCACAGAAGUGUAAGUUAUCCAUGCCAUUGGCACUAACACAGCCCCAUAACAUAACAUCAUGCUGGCGUUUGAACUUUGCAUCUUUGAAUCCAUAAAUUCCUUGCAAUUGUACAUUGAGGAACAUUGUCCUUAAACUGUUCGACUAUUUUCUCACACACUUGUUCACAAAGAGGUGAACCUCGCCCCAUCUUUGCUUGUGAAUGACUGAGUAAUUCAGGGAAGCGCCUUUUAAAACCAAUCAUGGCACCCACCUGUUCCCAAUUAGCCUGUUCACCUGUGGAUGUUCCAAACAAGUGUUUGAUGAGCAUUCCUCAACUUUCUCAGUGUUUUGUGCCACCUGUCCCAGCUGUUUUGGAACGUGUUGCAGCCAUAAAAUUCUAAGUUAAUGAUUAUUUGUUAAAAACAAUCAAGUUUAUCAGUUUGAACAUUAAAUAUCUUCUUUGUAGUGUAUUCAAUUAAAUAUAGCUCAAACAUGAUUUGCAAAUCAUUGUAUCCUGUUUUUAUUUAUGUUUAACACAACGUCCCAACUUCAUUGGAAUU